ACUCCUACGGGAGGCAGCAGUGGGGAAUAUUGGACAAUGGGCGAGGGCCUGAUCCAGCCAUGCCGCGUGCAGGAAGAAUGCCCUAUGGGUAGUAAACUGCUUUUAUAUCGGGAAGAAAAGGGCAGACGAUGGUGCCCUGCUUGACUGGUGACCCGUAAGAAUAAGGACCGGCUAACUCCGUGCCAGCAGCCGCGGUAAUACGGAGGGUCCGAGCGUUAUCCGGAAUUAUUGGGUUUAAAGGGUCCGUAGGCGGGCCGGUAAGUCAGGGUGGAAGAUCUGUAGCUCAACUAUAGAACUGCCUUUGAUACUGCCGGUCUUGAGUCACGGUGAAGUUGCCGGAAUAUGUGGUGUAGCGGUGAAAUGCAUAGAUAUCACAUAGAACACCGAUUGCGAAGGCAGGUGACUAACCGUGUACUGACGCUGAUGGACGAAAGCGUGGGAGCGAACAGGAUUAGAUACCCUGGUAGGCUCUGCU
RNAcentral lists this ribosomal RNA (475 nucleotides) under uncultured bacterium. RNAcentral describes it as "bacterial SSU rRNA". It matches the Rfam family "Bacterial small subunit ribosomal RNA", at positions 335 to 801 of the family's 1533-position model. The record is from RNAcentral.